UACGGAGGGUGCAAGCGUUACCCGGAAUCACUGGGCGUAAAGGGCGUGUAGGCGGGAUGUUAAGUCUGACUUUAAAGACUGUGGCUCAACCACAGCAGUGGGCUGGAUACUGGCAUUCUAGACAACUGGAGAGGCGAUUGGAAUUACUGGUGUAGCGGUGGAAUGCGUAGAUACCAGUAGGAACGUCAAUGGCGAAGGCAGGUCGCUGGACAGUUUGUGACGCUGAGGCGCGAAAGUGUGGGGAGCAAACCGG
This 253-nucleotide ribosomal RNA is filed under the name uncultured bacterium. Its description in RNAcentral is "partial 16S ribosomal RNA". It matches the Rfam family "Bacterial small subunit ribosomal RNA", at positions 524 to 776 of the family's 1533-position model. The record is from RNAcentral.